RNAcentral lists this ribosomal RNA (377 nucleotides) under uncultured bacterium. RNAcentral describes it as "bacterial SSU rRNA". It matches the Rfam family "Bacterial small subunit ribosomal RNA", at positions 523 to 898 of the family's 1533-position model. The record is from RNAcentral.
AUACGUAGGAUGCGAGCGCUAAUCGGAAUUACUGGGCGCAAAGGGUGCGUAGGCGGUUUUGUAAGUCAGAUGUGAAAUCCCCGGGCUUAACCUGGGAAUGGCGUUUGAAACUGCAAGGCUAGAGUGUAGCAGAGGGGAGUGGAAUUCCGCGUGUAGCAGUGAAAUGCGUAGAUAUGCGGAGGAACACCGAUGGCGAAGGCAGCUCCCUGGGCUAACACUGACGCUCAUGCACGAAAGCGUGGGGGGCAAACAGGAUUAGAUACCCUGGUAGUCCACGCCCUAAACGAUGUCAACUAGUUGUCGGGCCUAAUUGGGGGUUUGGUAACGUAGCUAACGCGUGAAGUUGACCGCCUGGGGAGUACGAUCGCAAGAUUAAA